Molecule: ribosomal RNA, 515 nt
Filed under: uncultured bacterium
Lineage: Bacteria
Description: bacterial SSU rRNA
Rfam family: Bacterial small subunit ribosomal RNA
Source: RNAcentral
GAACUUUCAGAGAUGGAUUGGUGCCUUCGGGAACUCUGAGACAGGUGCUGCAUGGCUGUCGUCAGCUCGUGUUGUGAAAUGUUGGGUUAAGUCCCGCAACGAGCGCAACCCUUAUCCUUUGUUGCCAGCGGUUAGGCCGGGAACUCAAGGGAGACUGCCAGUGAUAAACUGGAGGAAGGUGGGGAUGACGUCAAGUCAUCAUGGCCCUUACGAGUAGGGCUACACACGUGCUACAAUGGCGCAUACAAAGAGAAGCGACCUCGCGAGAGCAAGCGGACCUCAUAAAGUGCGUCGUAGUCCGGAUUGGAGUCUGCAACUCGACUCCAUGAAGUCGGAAUCGCUAGUAAUCGUGGAUCAGAAUGCCACGGUGAAUACGUUCCCGGGCCUUGUACACACCGCCCGUCACACCAUGGGAGUGGGUUGCAAAAGAAGUAGGUAGCUUAACCUUCGGGAGGGCGCUUACCACUUUGUGAUUCAUGACUGGGGUGAAGUCGUAACAAGGUAAGCGUAGUGCU